Molecule: non-coding RNA, 143 nt
Organism: Fukomys damarensis (Damara mole-rat)
Lineage: Eukaryota; Metazoa; Chordata; Mammalia; Rodentia; Bathyergidae
Source: Rfam
AUCUUUGUGCAGUGGCAAUAUCAUAGCCAAUGAGGUUUAUCCAAAGUGUGAUUAUUGCUAAUUGAAAAAUGCAGAAGUGUUCGUUUUUCCACACGGCUUCAUCAACAUGUUAUUGUUUUAAUUCUUGAAGAUAGCCACUCUUU